AACGCGAAGAACCUUACCAGGGCUUGACAUGCACGGUGCAGCGCGAGAGAUCGCGUGUCCUUUGGGGUCGUGUACAGGUGGUGCAUGGUUGUCGUCAGCUCGUGUCGUGAGAUGUUGGGUUAAGUCCCGCAACGAGCGCAACCCUCGUCCUGUAUUGCCAGCAACAUCCUUCGGGGUGGUUGGGGACUUGCGGGAGACUGCCGGGGUCAACUCGGAGGAAGGUGGGGACGACGUCAAAUCAUCAUGCCCCUUAUGUCCUGGGCUGCACGCAUGCUACAAUGGCCGGUACAGAGGGCUGCGAUACCGUGAGGUGGGGCGAAUCCCUUAAAGCCGGUCUCAGUUCGGAUCGGGGUCUGCAACUCGACCCCGUGAAGUCGGAGUCGCUAGUAAUCGCAGAUCAGCAACGCUGCGGUGAAUACGUUCCCGGGCCUUGUA
This 435-nucleotide ribosomal RNA is filed under the name uncultured Actinomycetes bacterium. RNAcentral describes it as "bacterial SSU rRNA". It matches the Rfam family "Bacterial small subunit ribosomal RNA", at positions 958 to 1385 of the family's 1533-position model. Lineage: Bacteria; Bacillati; Actinomycetota; Actinomycetes. The record is from RNAcentral.